UAGAGUUUGAUCAUGGCUCAGAUUGAACGCUGGCGGCAGGCCUAACACAUGCAAGUCGAGCGGUAGAGAGGWGCUUGCWCCUCUKKWGAGCGGCGGACGGGUGAGUAAUGCCUAGGAAUCUGCCUGAUAGUGGGGGAUAACGUCYGGAAACGGACGCUAAUACCGCAUACGUCCUACGGGAGAAAGCAGGGGACCUUCGGGCCUUGCGCUAUCAGAUGAGCCUAGGUCGGAUUAGCUAGUUGGUGAGGUAAAGGCUCACCAAGGCGACGAUCCGUAACUGGUCUGAGAGGAUGAUCAGUCACACUGGAACUGAGACACGGUCCAGACUCCUACGGGAGGCAGCAGUGGGGAAUAUUGGACAAUGGGCGAAAGCCUGAUCCAGCCAUGCCGCGUGUGUGAAGAAGGUCUUCGGAUUGUAAAGCACUUUAAGUUGGGAGGAAGGG
This 443-nucleotide ribosomal RNA is filed under the name uncultured bacterium. Its description in RNAcentral is "bacterial SSU rRNA". It matches the Rfam family "Bacterial small subunit ribosomal RNA", at positions 1 to 452 of the family's 1533-position model. The record is from RNAcentral.